UCCCCUUGCCCCAAAAAAUAUCCUGCAGAUUCGCCUCCGUAUCAACAGCUUUGGGGGAGGAAGGGAGGGAAGUUGAGGAUUCCUAAUGCGAAUUUAUUGUCGUUCCUUAAGAAAGUUGCGCAAGAGACGUCUGUAUCGCAGCUGGAUAACUGGCGUACUUUAAAAGGCUGUCGCAAAAUUAUUAUUGAUGGUGAUACAGGUCUUUUCUAUAUAUACCUGGAAAGCAAGUUAAAAUAUUCAAGACGCACCUGGAUGAGAAACGGAUGCCACACCAAAAGUCUUAAAACUCUAAGCAGCAGCCUCUUCAGGAUGCAAACCUGCAUGAACUGAAAUCCAUAGUGACAACAGCAGCAUGGAGAUAAACUCCUGCAAAGCUGCCAAAGAAAACAACAUAAAUGUCAACUUUUAUUCAUCUGUGUUCUUUUAUCAGAAGAGAAGACAUAGCAGCUAUACAGUAUACAGGUGAGCAGUGCCCUCUCACUGUCUCCGGAUGUAGUGACAUUCAAGCAGUUGCUGAUUAGUAUGUGCAGAAGGGAAGAAAGAGUGCAGAGCAGAAGAGACAGAGAGGGGGAGAGAGGGGACAGGCAAGCUGGCAUCAAGCCAUGUCCUCCAUCUUAGUCCCAGCUGGUACCAAGCUCCCAAAGAACAAAGCUACUUCAGACUGCGCCAUCAGAUAUUCAUGGCCGAGAAGAAAUAUACAAACCAGCCCGUUUGAAUUCCUGACAACCAUAGAAGAAUGGUACAGAGGCAUGGUGAAUUUUUUUUUUCCAGCCAGCCUCCACUGACCUAUAAACCUUUGUGACUGGAACAAAUGCAAAUCGAGCUGACUUGCUUCACAAGCUACUGAAGGGCAUUCAGACUGAGUUGUGUCUAACAGGCUAACAAUAACCCACUGUCCCACCCAUGCAAAACACACAGUCUGGGGAAAAACAGCUUUAGAAAAGCACUUGACUGAGACACAAAACCAGAGAAUGUUACAGGGGAACAGCCAUCUUUCUCUGUCCACAUUUCUUUGCAUCAAAUGCCCCAAGGGUACAUGAGUAUGCAUGGAAAAAAAGUGUUCAAGUAUGUGCACUUAGAUAGUAUCUGAAUUUACGGAAAGAAAAUCCAAGCUCUGUAUGCUUUACAUGAAAGCAAAUACGGCAUAACUCAAGAGAAUGGAAAAAAUAUACUUUGCCUUGUUUUGAACUAUAUUGCACUUACAUAUAAUAUCUCUGUCUGUGGCUAUUGUUUUCCCACUCUUAGUCACCCAAAGGUCUCUUGAGCAACUCAAGAGCAACUCUUGAGUAAACCACUCUGAGCCAUUUUGGAAGGGCGGUAUACAAAUCUAAUGAAUAAUAAAUAAUAAACACCAA
This is a long non-coding RNA of Hemicordylus capensis (graceful crag lizard), 1355 nucleotides long. RefSeq lists it as uncharacterized. The record is from RefSeq and is a predicted model, not a curated record. The transcript has 3 exons. NCBI's taxonomy places the organism in Eukaryota, Metazoa, Chordata, Lepidosauria, Squamata, Cordylidae.